GCCUUCGUGGUGUAGUGGUCAGCACGCUGGGCGCGUAUUCCAGAAGUCCGUAGUUCCAAUCCCGGCGAAGGCA
Non-coding RNA from Stegodyphus mimosarum, 73 nucleotides. NCBI's taxonomy places the organism in Eukaryota, Metazoa, Arthropoda, Arachnida, Araneae, Eresidae. The record is from Rfam.